GGUCAAGUUAAUAAGGGCAUAUGGUGAAUGCCUUGGCAUCAGACGGCGACGAAGGACGCGGCAGGCGGCGAAAUGCUACGGGGAGCUGCGAGUAAGCUUAGAUCCGUAGAUAUCCGAAUGGGGAAACCCUUCAGGGGUCAUGCCCUGAAAUUAUACACUGAAUACAUAGGUGUAUAAGGCGAACCCGGGGAAGUGAAACAUCUCAGUACCUGGAGGAAAAGACAUCAAAAGAGAUUCCCUUAGUAGCGGCGAGCGAAGGGGGAAGAGCCUAAACCCGGGAAGACAACAAGUCAACGAGCGCGGUUUUAAGGAUCGUGGUUGGUUGGUUUAUUGUCUUUCCGGGGGUUGUAGGACCGCAUAAGUACGAUAAUCGAUAUAUAGCUGAACCAUUGUGGAACAAUAGACCAUAGAAGGUGAUAGUCCUGUAAGCGAAAUGUAUUGAUUAGGGAAGCGGUAUCCUGAGUACUACGAGACACGUGGAAUCUCGUGGGAAUCUGGGGGGACCACCCUCCAAGGCUAAAUACGAGCUGAUGACCGAUAGCGCAUAGUACCGUGAGGGAAAGGUGAAAAGAACCCCGGUGAGGGGAGUGAAAUAGAACCUGAAACCAUAUGCUUACAAUCAAUCAGAGCGUGUAUCCCAGCAAUGGGAUAUGUGUGAUGGUGUGCCUUUUGAUUAAUGAGCCGGC
RNAcentral lists this non-coding RNA (686 nucleotides) under Candidatus Magnetobacterium bavaricum. Its description in RNAcentral is "Bacterial large subunit ribosomal RNA". It matches the Rfam family "Bacterial large subunit ribosomal RNA", at positions 1 to 624 of the family's 2925-position model. Lineage: Bacteria; Pseudomonadati; Nitrospirota; Thermodesulfovibrionia; Thermodesulfovibrionales; Magnetobacteriaceae (SeqCode). The record is from Rfam by way of RNAcentral.